RNAcentral lists this ribosomal RNA (119 nucleotides) under Pteropus alecto (black flying fox). The record is from RNAcentral. Lineage: Eukaryota; Metazoa; Chordata; Mammalia; Chiroptera; Pteropodidae.
AUCUAUGUCCUUGCUACCCUGAACGAGCCGUAUCCCAUCUGAUCUCAGAAGCUAAGCAGGGUUGGGCCUGGUUAAUACUUGGAUGGGAGACCACCCAGGAAGACCAGGUGCUGUAGGUG